Podarcis lilfordi (Lilford's wall lizard) is the source of this 3322-nucleotide non-coding RNA. The record is from the annotation of a GenBank genome assembly. Lineage: Eukaryota; Metazoa; Chordata; Lepidosauria; Squamata; Lacertidae.
GGAGGUCUGUUCUUAAUUCAUUCUGGAGGUCUGCCACCACUGCGCAAUUUUUGUUCUCGUCCUGAAGCAAAGUUCUUAACCCAAGGUACUAUUUCUGGGUUAGCAGAGUCUGUAACCUGAAGCGUCUGUAACCCAAGGUACCACUGUAGCAACAGGAGCACAGUCAGAGGGCAGUCCAAGGGUGAAGUGAUCACCACAGGGGUUGGGUGAUCAGAAAUAUACAAGCUUGGGAGCUGGUGCUUAAAAUGGCUCCAGCUCUAGGUAGACUGUGCCUACAAACCAAAGGCUUCUAAGACUGCGCUUUCAGAGACCAAUGUAGAGCACAGCUAUGGGCCACCAAUGUUACCUGAGGAAUUGAUCUACUCAUAAGGAGUGAUUUAUUCAUGAGCAUCCCCUUACUCAUGCAGAGUCUGAUCAAGCCUGCACUUCUAGACAUCUGGCCUGCAUUCCUAAGGGCUAGAUAGUCCCUCGGUGUCUGCCUCUGAUAUGGGUUGUCCACAUCUUGAGGGGAAAGAUGGAAAGAUGGACUGCUGUCUCCUCUGAGAUCCCUGGUUCCCCUGAUAUGCCUCAAGCAGUGUUAGAAAUUCAGAUAGAUAAGCUAGCACAUAUGAAUUGACCUAUUCCUACCUCUUCUUCUUAAUAUUGACAUGGACCAUUGAUAACGUAAGAAUAUUCUUCUCAAACGUGAGCAGGGCAGUGGGAUGGGGGAAGUGAAGACAAGUCACAACAAUUAAUUAUAACGUCGUUCAUUGCUCCUGCUCAAGCGGCAAAGAAAAAGCAUUUCCGUUUCUGAAAUUCAUUUGAUUGUGCAGAUAAAAUAUAACUGAUAGAAUUCGACAGCACAUGGUAUUACGGUGUGUAAACAGUUGAGAGCCAAGGAUUCCCAGGCAUGCACCUCUAGAUGGUGGAGAUGUCAGGAGCCAUUCUGACGCCCAGGCAUCUUCACAUGGUCACUCACAAGUGGCCGAUAGCCAGGUGCAAAAUGUGCCUGUCACCUGGCUCAUUUUGAACACUGCUCCCAAAGCUACAAUUCUAUAAUCUCAACUGCAUUGCAUGACUGUAGCUAAUAACAAUUCGCUUGUCUGAGUAUGCAAGAAGGAGAAACACACACAGGAAAAAUGGGAAUGGUAUUAACUAUGGACUGAGGUGGAGGUUUUUAAACUGUGGUCUGCAAGUUCCAUUUGGGUGGCCUUUGGAAAGGCCGCAGGGCAGUCAAAUAUAUCUGUACUCAGCCCUGCACUUCCCUUGAUGUGAUGAUGGAGGACUAAGAUGCCCAGCAAGGGGCCCACGAUGCGCAUGGCAGCGCAGAAGCAGAAGAUGUACGUCUUUUGCUGCGCACAAGUCAGCUGGCUCGAUGGAGAUGUCAGUUGCCAACAUGGCAGCCAUAAAUCUCCCCGUGGUCGCAAUUGGACCCAUGCCAGUAGCAAAUCAUGCCCGGCACCUGGGGAAUUUCCAACACUGGCCUCAAGUUUCCUCAACACAGGGUACUCCUUCAUGAUGUUUUGCUUGGGGGUUACAGGUAAUCCCCUGAAGCAGAUUCCUCCAUUGGGGGAAUGACAUGGGACCUAAGAUGUGGGACCAGCUCGACUGAUUUUAGGGAGCCCAUGGGUACUGAAUGGCUGAACAGGGCUUUACUUAGAAGGAAUCCCUAUGGAAAUUAAUGGUGUAAAGAUGUGAGAAAACAGGUAAGCUUAGAUUCAAAAUAAUUUCAACAGAAGUAGUUUCGUGCUUGAAUCUCUCCAACUUAAAUCUGUAGAACUUAUCACUCAGAAAAUAAUCAAACCGAGAUCAGUGGGACUUACUCCCAAGUAAGUCUGAACAGGACUGAAGCCUAAAUAGUGCUCUGCUUUGUUGGGAUCAUGUCCAGCAUUCCCAAAUUAGAUGACGUUGGCUAAAACGUAUUUUCUCUAGAACUGCCCAGCUGACUUUGUUUUGACUAUUUCAAAGGAAUCAUUUGGCAUGGUUGAUCUCAGCUCAGCUUUGGUAUUAUUGUUGUUGAUUGUUUUGCCCAGUGAACAAGUAGCAGGUUGACGGCAAUUUACCUCAGGAAACUGGUGCAGAGGAAAAGGUUUAACUCAUCCUCUAUUAUGACUCCAAACCAAUUUUGCAGACCUAUGGCUGUUUUCACCCAUCCAGUGAGUUGGUGUUUUCUGAGGAGGGGAAGAAAAAAAUAGAAAUGUUGGCAGAUCCAAUCAGAGGUCUUCCCUAUCUCAUCUAAUCUGCUAGGUAUUCCGAAUCCUGACCAAAGAGAAUGGAGCCCCUAUUGAUCAGACUGCUUGUAGUGAUCCCUCUGGAAGAUUGUCCCCUCCAUUCAUGGAGUAAAGAGUGUGGGCAACAAUGGGAGUGGUCUUUGGCCUUCAAGACUUCUCCACCUUGUGGUCCUGGCUUUAGUUUGGAAAUUACAUAAACUAUGAGAGAGUUUCUCUAAAAACCUUUUCAGGUUGUCCCAGUGUCUGGAGACUGCAAUAGCUGGGGCACUGGGAGUAGAUUGUGAUAACUGACACAUUAAUUGGGUUGUUGAAAUAAAAUUCUAAUGUGCUACUAUUUCCCCCGAUGAACUUGGCUUGCUUUUCUUUUUCUCAUAGUGCAAAUUUCAACAUUUCUUGAAUGUGUUACAACACGUAAUUGCAUUGGCCUAUAUUCAGUAACCCGGCUGCCUGUAAUCCCAGCCACAGUAAGAAUGCUGACUGAUUCAUGGGGUAAAAAUAGCCUUUUACUCAGACCUGGUAUAUGUUAUCACUUGCUCUGUGUUUCAGCUAAUUGUUGAUCAUUUUUGCUUUAAUAGACGCUGACAAGUACAUGGUUGUAUUGAUUCACAUUGAAAAUAAGUAAUGUGAAAUAUUUCCCUUAAACUUGGUACCUCCCAGUGUUAGAAACUGGGACAGAAAAGCUAGGAGCCAAAUGGCUUCUGGGACCUGGGUUGUGGGCGCCAAAACAGAAUAUCUAGUCGCCAUUUGGAGGAGGGGGGUCAGCCACACUUUUUAUUUAUUAUUUUGAUAAGCAUGAACUAAUACACAUAAGCGAUACAUUGUUAAUAUCACAUUUUUAACUGAGGGUCUGUGCUUGUGUGGUAACCCAUGUUAAAACUGUUAAACUGUAGAGCAUCCUUUGGUCAAGAUGGGCAUCUAAGCAUUUCUUAUCAGUUAAGCCAAAACAGCUGCUCUCCCAGCGCCUAUCCUCCAAUAUAUGGCUUUUAAGCCCACAUAAAGGUAAAACAGAUAAAAUGGAUAUGCUCCUUGCAAUUAACAUUAGCUACUGAGCCCAACUGACUUUAAAACUAUUCAGAAUAGAAAGAAAUUAAAACUAGCACAGAGCAUGCUCC